Molecule: ribosomal RNA, 20 nt
Filed under: Piper fimbriulatum
Lineage: Eukaryota; Viridiplantae; Streptophyta; Magnoliopsida; Piperales; Piperaceae
Description: partial 26S ribosomal RNA
Source: RNAcentral
CCAAGUCAGGUGGGAUACCC